AUAAUGUUAAGAAGAUUUUUCGAUGGAGACGCCAGCCAAGAAAGAACUAACUAAAUUUUGAAAAUUCUAACAAAGUUUAAUGCUGAUGUUAUUGAAAGUUAGAUACAACAAAAUAAGGAGGUACUACAAAACAAUGUAGUUGCAUACUAGGUUCAAAUAAUGAGGGAAGAAGAACCAGACUAAAAAUAAUACAUAAAAAAUAAUUGAAAACAAUACACAAGAAUGAAGUAAAAAUUGUUGACAAUUAAUACCGCUACCAACAUAAGAAAGUUGCAGUACUACAAAAAAAAAAAAAAAGAAGAUGCAACUAAUAAUAAUGCUACACUCUCAUAACUUCUAAUUACAACACAAAAUCAGUUAUUUGCAUGUUGCUAAGA
This 377-nucleotide long non-coding RNA is filed under the name Physcomitrium patens. Its description in RNAcentral is "long non-coding RNA (PPAT_LNC002888)". The record is from RNAcentral. Lineage: Eukaryota; Viridiplantae; Streptophyta; Bryopsida; Funariales; Funariaceae.